This 259-nucleotide ribosomal RNA is filed under the name Vibrio parahaemolyticus. RNAcentral's name for it is "partial 16S ribosomal RNA". It matches the Rfam family "Bacterial small subunit ribosomal RNA", at positions 1102 to 1360 of the family's 1533-position model. The record is from RNAcentral. Lineage: Bacteria; Pseudomonadati; Pseudomonadota; Gammaproteobacteria; Vibrionales; Vibrionaceae.
CCCUUAUCCUUGUUUGCCAGCGAGUAAUGUCGGGAACUCCAGGGAGACUGCCGGUGAUAAACCGGAGGAAGGUGGGGACGACGUCAAGUCAUCAUGGCCCUUACGAGUAGGGCUACACACGUGCUACAAUGGCGCAUACAGAGGGCGGCCAACUUGCGAAAGUGAGCGAAUCCCAAAAAGUGCGUCGUAGUCCGGAUUGGAGUCUGCAACUCGACUCCAUGAAGUCGGAAUCGCUAGUAAUCGUGGAUCAGAAUGCCAC